GCACUUCCUUGCCUUGCAACUAGGCCUGAAAAGGGGAAUGAAGGUGUUGGACGUGGGAUGUGGAAUUGGUGGGCCACUCCGAGAAAUUGCUAGAUUCAGCUCAACAUCUGUUACUGGAUUGAACAACAAUGAGUAUCAAAUAACGAGAGGAACUGAGCUAAACAAAUUGGCAGGAUUGACUGAGUCAUGCAACUUUGUUAAGGCUGAUUUCAUGAAGAUGCCAUUCCCAGAUCAUACUUAUGAUGCCAUAUAUGCUAUAGAAGCGACGUGCCAUGCCCCUGAUGCGGUUGGAUGUUACUCUGAAAUAUUCAGGGUUUUGAAACCUGGGCAAUGCUUUGCUGCCUAUGAAUGGUGCAUGACUGAUCAUUUCGAUUCAAAGAAUGAAAGCCACAAGAAGAUCAAGGCU
RNAcentral lists this unclassified non-coding RNA (406 nucleotides) under Hevea brasiliensis (rubber tree). The record is from RNAcentral. Lineage: Eukaryota; Viridiplantae; Streptophyta; Magnoliopsida; Malpighiales; Euphorbiaceae.